AGUGAACGCUGGCGGCAGGCCUAAUACAUGCCAGUCGAACGGCAGCACAGUGGAGCUUGCUCCAUGGGUGGCGAGUGGCGGACGGGUGAGGAAUACAUGGGAAUCUGCCCAGUCGUGGGGGAUAACGUAGGGAAACUUACGCUAAUACCGCAUGCGCCCUUCGGGGGAAAGCCGGGGACCUUCGGGCCUGGCGCGAUUGGAUGAGCCCAUGUUCGAUUAGCUAGUUGGCGGGGUAAAGGCCCACCAAGGCGACGAUCGAUAGCUGGUCUGAGAGGAUGAUCAGCCGCACUGGGACUGAGACACGGCCCAGACUCCUACGGGAGGCAGCAGUAGGGAAUAUUGGACAAUGGGCGCAAGCCUGAUCCAGCCAUGCCGCGUGAGUGAAGAAGGCCCUCGGGUUGUAAAGCUCUUUUGUCCGGGAAGAAAAGCAUCGGGCUAAUACCUCGGUGUUCUGACGGUACCGGAAGAAUAAGCACCGGCUAACUUCGUG
RNAcentral lists this ribosomal RNA (490 nucleotides) under uncultured bacterium. RNAcentral's name for it is "partial 16S ribosomal RNA". It matches the Rfam family "Bacterial small subunit ribosomal RNA", at positions 29 to 507 of the family's 1533-position model. The record is from RNAcentral.